GACGAACCGUGCGAACGUUGUUCGGAAUCACUGGGCUUAAAGGGCGCGUAGGCGGGUCACCAAGUCCGGGGUGAAAUCUUCGGCUUAACCGGAAACUGCCUUGGAUACUGGUGACCUCGAGGAGGUAGGGUCUGCGGAACUUCUGGUGGAGCGGUGAAUGCGUUGAUAUCAAGAAGGAACGCCGGUGGCGAAAGCGGCGGACUGGACCUCCACU
RNAcentral lists this ribosomal RNA (214 nucleotides) under uncultured bacterium. Its description in RNAcentral is "partial 16S ribosomal RNA". It matches the Rfam family "Bacterial small subunit ribosomal RNA", at positions 524 to 741 of the family's 1533-position model. The record is from RNAcentral.